CCGGCGCACGGGUGAGUAACACGUAUCCAACCUGCCGAUAACUCGGGGAUAGCCUUUCGAAAGAAAGAUUAAUACAAGAUGGCAUCAUGAGUCCGCAUGUUCACAUGAUUAAAGGUAUUCCGGUAGACGAUGGGGAUGCGUUCCAUUAGAUAGUAGGCGGGGUAACGGCCCACCUAGUCUUCGAUGGAUAGGGGUUCUGAGAGGAAGGUCCCCCACAUUGGAACUGAGACACGGUCCAA
This 239-nucleotide ribosomal RNA is filed under the name uncultured bacterium. RNAcentral's name for it is "partial 16S ribosomal RNA". It matches the Rfam family "Bacterial small subunit ribosomal RNA", at positions 95 to 334 of the family's 1533-position model. The record is from RNAcentral.